Molecule: ribosomal RNA, 158 nt
Filed under: Coriaria myrtifolia
Lineage: Eukaryota; Viridiplantae; Streptophyta; Magnoliopsida; Cucurbitales; Coriariaceae
Description: 5.8S ribosomal RNA
Rfam family: 5.8S ribosomal RNA
About the family: 5.8S ribosomal RNA (5.8S rRNA) is a component of the large subunit of the eukaryotic ribosome. It is transcribed by RNA polymerase I as part of the 45S precursor that also contains 18S and 28S rRNA. Functionally, it is thought that 5.8S rRNA may be involved in ribosome translocation.
Source: RNAcentral
AACGACUCUCGGCAACGGAUAUCUCGGCUCUCGCAUCGAUGAAGAACGUAGCGAAAUGCGAUACUUGGUGUGAAUUGCAGAAUCCCGUGAACCAUCGAGUCUUUGAACGCAAGUUGCGCCCGAAGCCUUCUGGCCGAGGGCACGCCUGCCUGGGCGUC